GAUGGACCCGCGUCUGAUUAGCUAGUUGGUGGGGUAACGGCCUACCAAGGCGACGAUCAGUAGCCGGCCUGAGAGGGUGAACGGCCACAUUGGGACUGAGACACGGCCCAAACUCCUACGGGAGGCAGCAGUGGGGAAUAUUGCACAAUGGGGGAAACCCUGAUGCAGCGACGCCGCGUGAGCGAAGAAGUAUUUCGGUAUGUAAAGCUCUAUCAGCAGGGAAGAAAAUGACGGUACCUGACUAAGAAGCACCGGCUAAAUACGUGCCAGCAGCCGCGGUAAUACGUAUGGUGCAAGCGUUAUCCGGAUUUACUGGGUGUAAAGGGAGCGUAGACGGUUGUGUAAGUCUGAUGUGAAAGCCCGGGGCUCAACCCCGGGACUGCAUUGGAAACUAUGUAACUAGAGUGUCGGAGAGGUAAGCGGAAUUCCUAGUGUAGCGGUGAAAUGCGUAGAUAUUAGGAGGAACACCAGUGGCGAAGGCGGCUUACUGGACGAUCACUGACGUUGAGGCUCGAAAGCGUGGGGAGCAAACAGGAAUAGAUACCCCUGGUAUUCCACGCCGUAAACGAGGACUACUAGGUGUCGGGGAGCAAAGCUCUUCGGUGCCGCAGCAAACGCAAUAAGUAGUCCACCUGGGGAGUACGUUCGCAAGAAUGAAACUCAAAGGAAUUGACGGGGACCCGCACAAGCGGUGGAGCAUGUGGUUUUAAUUCGAAGCAACGCGAAGAACCUUACCUGGUCUUGACAUCCCUCUGACCGCUCUUUAAUCGGAGUUUUCCUUCGGGACAGAGGAGACAGGUGGUGCAUGGUUGUCGUCAGCUCGUGUCGUGAGAUGUUGGGUUAAGUCCCGCAACGAGCGCAACCCCUAUCUUCAGUAGCCAGCAUUUAAGGUGGGCACUCUGGAGAGACUGCCAGGGAUAACCUGGAGGAAGGUGGGGAUGACGUCAAAUCAUCAUGCCCCUUAUGACCAGGGCUACACACGUGCUACAAUGGCGUAAACAAAGGGAAGCGAACCUGUGAGGGGAAGCAAAUCUCAAAAAUAACGUCUCAGUUCGGAUUGUAGUCUGCAACUCGACUACAUGAAGCUGGAAUCGCUAGUAAUCGCGAAUCAGCAUGUCGCGGUGAAUACGUUCCCGGGUCUUGUACUCACCGCCCGUCA
RNAcentral lists this ribosomal RNA (1159 nucleotides) under uncultured bacterium. RNAcentral describes it as "bacterial SSU rRNA". It matches the Rfam family "Bacterial small subunit ribosomal RNA", at positions 224 to 1399 of the family's 1533-position model. The record is from RNAcentral.